GCUGCCUCCGACUGUGGUGAGGCCGUGUGAACCGGGUCAGGUCCGAAAGGAAGCAGCCCUAAGCAGCAGGUUUUCAGGUGCAGAAGGGGGCAGCUUUC
RNAcentral lists this signal recognition particle RNA (98 nucleotides) under Planctopirus limnophila DSM 3776. RNAcentral's name for it is "SRP RNA; RNA component of signal recognitionparti cle". It matches the Rfam family "Bacterial small signal recognition particle RNA". Rfam says of the family: The signal recognition particle (SRP) is a universally conserved ribonucleoprotein involved in the co-translational targeting of proteins to membranes. Archaeal SRP consists of a 7S RNA and homologues of the eukaryotic SRP19 and SRP54 proteins. In most bacteria, the SRP consists of a 4.5S RNA and the Ffh protein (a homologue of the eukaryotic SRP54 protein). Lineage: Bacteria; Pseudomonadati; Planctomycetota; Planctomycetia; Planctomycetales; Planctomycetaceae. The record is from RNAcentral.